RNAcentral lists this ribosomal RNA (459 nucleotides) under uncultured bacterium. RNAcentral's name for it is "partial 16S ribosomal RNA". It matches the Rfam family "Bacterial small subunit ribosomal RNA", at positions 338 to 795 of the family's 1533-position model. The record is from RNAcentral.
CCUACGGGAGGCAGCAGUGAGGAAUAUUGGUCACUGGACGAGAGUCUGAACCAGCCAAGUAGCGUGAAGGAUGACUGCCCUAUGGGUUGUAAACUUCUUUUAUAAAGGAAUAAAACGAGGCACGUGUGCCUGUUUGCAUUUACUUUAUGAAUAAGGAUCGGCUAACUCCGUUCCAGCAGCCGCGGUAAUACGGAGGAUCCGAGCGUUAUCCGGAUUUAUUGGGUUUAAAGGGAGCGUAGAUGGGUUGUUAAGUCAGUUGUGAAAGUUUGCGGCUCAACCGUAAAAUUGCAAUUGAUACUGGCAGUCAUGAGUACAGUUGAGGUAGGCGGAAUUCGUGGUGUAGCGGUGAAAUGCUUAGAUAUCACGAAGAACCCCGAUUGCGAAGGCAGCUUACUAAACUGUGACUGACAUUGAUGCUCGAAAGUGUGGGUAUCAAACAGGAUUAGAUACCUUGUAGUC